UACAGAGGUCCCGAGCGUUGUUCGGAUUCACUGGGCGUAAAGGGUGCGUAGGCGGUCGGGUAAGGCUGAUGUGAAAUCUCACAGCUUAACUGUGAAACUGCAUUGGAUACUAUUCGGCUUGAGGUCUGGAGGGGGGACUGGAAUUCUCGGUGUAGCAGUGAAAUGCGUAGAUAUCAAGUGGAACACCAGUGGCGAAGGCGAGUCUCUGGACAUUUCCUGACGCUGAGGCACGAAAGCCAGGGGAGCAAACGGG
This 253-nucleotide ribosomal RNA is filed under the name uncultured bacterium. RNAcentral describes it as "partial 16S ribosomal RNA". It matches the Rfam family "Bacterial small subunit ribosomal RNA", at positions 524 to 776 of the family's 1533-position model. The record is from RNAcentral.